RNAcentral lists this ribosomal RNA (233 nucleotides) under uncultured bacterium. RNAcentral describes it as "partial 16S ribosomal RNA". It matches the Rfam family "Bacterial small subunit ribosomal RNA", at positions 118 to 347 of the family's 1533-position model. The record is from RNAcentral.
UGAGUAACCUGCCCUUAACUCUGGGAUAAGCCUGGGAAACUGGGUCUAAUACCGGAUAUGACUCCUCAUCGCAUGGUGGGGGGUGGAAAGCUUUAUUGUGGUUUUGGACGGACUCGCGGCCUAUCAGCUUGUUGGUGAGGUAAUGGCUCACCAAGGCGACGACGGAUAGCCGGCCUGAGAGGGUGACCGGCCACACUGGGACUGAGACACGGCCCAGACUCCUACGGGAGCAG